GAGGAAUAAGCAUCGGCUAACUCCGUGCCAGCAGCCGCGGUAAUACGGGGGAUGCAAGCGUUAUCCGGAAUCAUUGGGCGUAAAGCGCCUGUAGGUUGUUUAAUAAGUCUGUUGUUAAAGACUAGGGCUUAACCCUAGAAAAGCAAUGGAAACUACUAGACUAGAGUAUGGCAGGGGUAGAGGGAAUUUCUAGUGUAGCGGUGAAAUGCGUAGAUAUUAGAAAGAACACCGGUGGCGAAAGCGCUCUACUGGACCAUUACUGACACUCAGAGGCGAAAGCUAGGGUAGCAAAAGGGAUUAGAUACCCCUGUAGUCCUAGCCGUAAACGAUGGAUACUACAUGUUGUGCAUUAUGUACAGUAUGGUAGCUAACGCGUUAAGUAUCCCGCCUGGGGAGUACGCUCGCAAGGGUGAAACUCAAAGGAAUUGACGGGGGCCCGCACAAGCGGUGGAGCAUGUGGUUUAAUUCGAUGCAACGCGAAGAACCUUACCAGGACUUGACAUACUACAAAUUCUUUUGAGAAAAAGAAGUGCCUUCGGGAAUGUAGAUACAGGUGGUGCAUGGCUGUCGUCAGCUCGUGUCGUGAGAUGUUGGGUUAAGUCCCGCAACGAGCGCAACCCUUAUUUUUAGUUACCAAUUCGUUGGGUUCUCUAGAAAGACUGCCGGUGACAAACCGGAGGAAGGUGAGGAUGACGUCAAGUCAGCAUGCCCCUUAUGUCCUGGGCUACACACGUGCUACAAUGGUUAAGACAAAGAGUCGCGAGCUCGUGAGAGUCAGCUAAUCUCAUAAACUUAGCCCAAGUUCAGAUUGUAGGCUGCAACUCGCCUACGUGA
RNAcentral lists this ribosomal RNA (834 nucleotides) under uncultured marine bacterium. Its description in RNAcentral is "bacterial SSU rRNA". It matches the Rfam family "Bacterial small subunit ribosomal RNA", at positions 481 to 1323 of the family's 1533-position model. The record is from RNAcentral.